GAAACCAACAGGGAUUGCCCCAGUAACGGCGAGUGAAGCGGCAACAGCUCAAAUUUGAAAUCUGGCUCUCGGGCCCGAGUUGUAAUUUGUAGAGGAUGCUUUUGGUGAGGUGCCUUCCGAGUUCCCUGGAACGGGACGCCAUAGAGGGUGAGAGCCCCGUCUGGUUGGACGCCGAACCUCUGUAAAGCUCCUUCGACGAGUCGAGUAGUUUGGGAAUGCUGCUCUAAAUGGGAGGUAUAUGUCUUCUAAAGCUAAAUACCGGCCAGAGACCGAUAGCGCACAAGUAGAGUGAUCGAAAGAUGAAAAGAACUUUGAAAAGAGAGUUAAACAGUACGUGAAAUUGUUGAAAGGGAAGCGCUUGUGACCAGACUUGGGCUUGGUUGAUCAUCCGGGGUUCUCCCCGGUGCACUCUUCCGGCCCAGGCCAGCAUCAGUUCGCCCUGGGGGACAAAGGCUUCGGGAACGUGGCUCUCUCCGGGGAGUGUUAUAGCCCGUUGCGUAAUACCCUGUGGCGGACUGAGGUUCGCGCAUUCGCAAGGAUGCUGGCGUAAUGGUCAUCAGUGACCCGUCUUGAAACACGGACCAAGGAGUCGUCUUCGUAUGCGAGUGUUCGGGUGUCAAACCCCUACGCGAAAUGAAAGUGAACGCAGGUGAGAGCUUCGGCGCAUCAUCGACCGAUCCUGAUGUUAUCGGAUGGAUUUGAGUAAGAGCAUACGGGGCCGGACCCGAAAGAAGGUGAACUAUGCCUGUGUAGGGUGAAGCCAGAGGAAACUCUGGUGGAGGCUCGCAGCGGUUCUGACGUGCAAAUCGAUCGUCAAACAUGGGCAUGGGGGCGAAAGACUAAUCGA
This 847-nucleotide ribosomal RNA is filed under the name Fusarium sp. Its description in RNAcentral is "eukaryotic LSU rRNA". It matches the Rfam family "Eukaryotic large subunit ribosomal RNA", at positions 61 to 938 of the family's 3401-position model. The record is from RNAcentral. Lineage: Eukaryota; Fungi; Ascomycota; Sordariomycetes; Hypocreales; Nectriaceae.